UGAACUUAAGCAUAUCAAUAAGCGGAGGAAAAGAAAAUAACAAUGAUUUCCCUAGUAACGGCGAGUGAAGAGGAAAGAGCUCAAAGUUGGAACCUGUUUGGCCUAGCUAAACCGGAUUGUAGACUGUAGAAGUGUUUUCCAGGCAAGCCGAGUAAAUAAGUCCUUUGGAACAGGGCAUCAUAGAGGGUGAGAAUCCCGUCUUUGGCUUGAGCAUUUGCCUUUUGUGAUACGCUUUCAAAGAGUCAGGUUGUUUGGGAAUGCAGCCUAAAUUGGGUGGUAAAUCUCACCUAAAGCUAAAUAUUGGCGAGAAACCGAUAGCGAACAAGUACCGUGAGGGAAAGAUGAAAAGAACUUUGAAAAGAGAGUUAAACAGUAUGUGAAAUUGUUAAAAGGGAACCGUUUGGAGCCAGACUGGCUUGUCUGUAAUCAAUCUAGGCUUCGGCCUGGAUGCACUUGCAGGCUAUGCCUGCCAACGACAAUUUGACUUGAGGGAAAAAACUAGGGGAAAUGUGGCCCACUUGUGGGUGUUAUAGUCCCUUAGAAAAUACCUUGGGUUGGAUUGAGGAACGCAGCGAAUGCUUAUUGGCGAGUUUUCCAGGAAGGUUUUCUGAGGUACUACGGUAU
This 624-nucleotide ribosomal RNA is filed under the name Rhizopus arrhizus. RNAcentral's name for it is "eukaryotic LSU rRNA". It matches the Rfam family "Eukaryotic large subunit ribosomal RNA", at positions 29 to 608 of the family's 3401-position model. The record is from RNAcentral. Lineage: Eukaryota; Fungi; Mucoromycota; Mucoromycetes; Mucorales; Rhizopodaceae.